This 67-nucleotide transfer RNA is filed under the name Capsala pricei. Its description in RNAcentral is "tRNA-Pro". The record is from RNAcentral. Lineage: Eukaryota; Metazoa; Platyhelminthes; Monogenea; Capsalidea; Capsalidae.
CAGUUUAGUAGUUUACUUAAAAUUCUAGUUUUGGGGACUAGGGACCUCUCUAUACAGAGCUAUCUGG